RNAcentral lists this long non-coding RNA (220 nucleotides) under Mytilus galloprovincialis (Mediterranean mussel). The record is from RNAcentral. Lineage: Eukaryota; Metazoa; Mollusca; Bivalvia; Mytilida; Mytilidae.
UUAGGCAGCAACCAUUUGAUUUUCUGGGGGGGGCUAUGGUUUUUUUUUCUACGCAAACUUUUUUUUUCGCCUUUGGCGAAAAACAAUCUAUUUUUUUGGCGACAAGAUGAAAACAAUUUUUUUCUUUCAAUUUUAACAUUACAUAUAGUGGCAGCUAAGGGUGAAACAAACAAUUUUUUUUUCUCAGGGUCAAAAACAAAUAAUUUUUUUCUCCAAAAAC